GACGAGGGAUCCUAGCGUUGUUCGGAAUCAUUGGGCGUAAAGCGGGUGUAGGUGGCUUUGUAAGUCAGGUGUGAAAUCCCAGAGCUUAACUCUGGAAGUGCAUCUGAUACUGCGAAGCUUGAGUGUAGGAGAGGUUACUAGAAUUCCUGGUGCAGUGGUGAAAUACGUAGAUAUCAGGAGGAAUACCGGAGGCGAAGGCGGGUAACUGGCCUAACACUGACACUCAGACCCGAAAGCGUGGGGAUCAAACAGG
Molecule: ribosomal RNA, 253 nt
Filed under: uncultured bacterium
Lineage: Bacteria
Description: partial 16S ribosomal RNA
Rfam family: Bacterial small subunit ribosomal RNA
Source: RNAcentral